UCCGUUAUGGUGUAGUGGCUAACAUUAUCGCCUCUCACUAGUCAAUUCGGUGUAUUACUUGUCAGAGCGCGAUAGCGCAGGGUUCGAUUCCCUGUAACGGAA
Non-coding RNA from Paramarasmius palmivorus, 102 nucleotides. The record is from the annotation of a GenBank genome assembly. Lineage: Eukaryota; Fungi; Basidiomycota; Agaricomycetes; Agaricales; Marasmiaceae.